UACGUAGGUCCCGAGCGUUAUCCGGAAUUAUUGGGCGUAAAGAGCAUGUAGGCGGUAAAUUAAGUUUGGUGUUAAAACUGAUGGCUCAACCAUUUAGGUGCAUUGAAAACUGAUUUACUAGAAUCCUGGAGAGGUAAGUGGAACUCCAUGUGUAGCGGUGGAAUGCGUAGAUAUAUGGAAGAACACCAAUGGCGAAGGCAGCUUACUGGACAGGGAUUGACGCUGAGAUGCGAAAGCGUGGGGAGCAAAC
Molecule: ribosomal RNA, 250 nt
Filed under: uncultured bacterium
Lineage: Bacteria
Description: partial 16S ribosomal RNA
Rfam family: Bacterial small subunit ribosomal RNA
Source: RNAcentral